CCUACGGGAGGCAGCAGUGGGGAAUAUUGGGCAAUGGGCGCAAGGCUGACCCAGCAACGCCGCGUGAAGGAAGAAGGCUUCAGGGUUGUAAACUUUUUUUCUCAGGGACGAAGCAAGUGACGGUACCGGAGGAAUAAGCCAAGGCUAACUACGUGCCAGCAGCCGCGGUAAUACGUAGGUGGCAAGCGUUAUCCGGAUUUAAUGGGUUUAAAGGGGUUGUGGGCGGGGAAGCAAGUCAGAUGUGAAAACCACGGGCUCAACCUGUGGCCUGCAUUUGAAACUGUGUGUCUUGAGUACUGGGGAGGCAGACGGAAUUCCCAGUGUAGCGGUGAAAUGCGUAGAUAUUAGGCGGAACACCAGUGGCGAAGGCGGUCUGCUGGACAGCAACUGACGCUGAGGCGCGAAAGCGUGGGGAGCAAACAGGAUUAGAUACCCUUGUAGUC
This 443-nucleotide ribosomal RNA is filed under the name uncultured bacterium. Its description in RNAcentral is "partial 16S ribosomal RNA". It matches the Rfam family "Bacterial small subunit ribosomal RNA", at positions 338 to 795 of the family's 1533-position model. The record is from RNAcentral.